This 372-nucleotide ribosomal RNA is filed under the name uncultured Glomeromycotina. RNAcentral describes it as "LSU rRNA". Lineage: Eukaryota; Fungi; Glomeromycota. The record is from RNAcentral.
UUGAAAGGGAAACGAUUGAAGUCAGUCGUACCUGUGGGUAAUCAGCCUUUUGGGUGUGAUUUUGGGAGUGUGAGGAGUUAAACGCCUUCAUGCCUGCAUAUUCGUGCACUUUGGGUGUAUUUACCCGUGUGGUAAGUUAACAUCAAUUUCGGUGGUCACAAAAUGGCUGGAGGAAUGUAGCUUCGAUCUUGUAUUGAAGUGUUAUAGCCUUCGGUAGAUGUGAUGAUCGGGAUUGAGGAUUGCAACGGAUACCCUUCGGGGCUACCUGUCUGAUCUCUGAUCGUUGCUCUGGUGCCGAAAGCUUGCUUACGGUUAUCAAAGUCGAUGGUCAAUAGGUUAGAACGGGUUAAAUUCGUUAAGGAUGUUGACGUA